Molecule: ribosomal RNA, 113 nt
Filed under: uncultured bacterium
Lineage: Bacteria
Description: partial 16S ribosomal RNA
Rfam family: Bacterial small subunit ribosomal RNA
Source: RNAcentral
UUCCCGGGCCUUGUACACACCGCCCGUCACACCACGAAAGUCGGCAACACCCGAAGCCGGUGGCCUAACCCGCAAGGGAGGGAGCCGUCGAAGGUGGGGUCGAUGAUUGGGUG